AUCAAAUGAGAAAGAUUCUAUACAGAGUUACAGUAAUAGUUUUUGGAAUUUGGGUCAAUUUUACCAAACUGUUUAUUCUUAAAACCAGCUGUCAUUGGGCUGGAGGUGUGUGACAAACAUGCAAAAAAGUGACAUUUUUGAUAGUGAUGCUAUUUUGUCCCUGAAGUAGCUCAGUUGGUUAGAGCAUGGUGCUAAUAGUGCCAAGGUUGUGAGUUUGAUCAUUACAGGGGCCAUUCGCUUAAGAGUUGGACUUAAUGAUCCUUGUGGGUCCCUUCCAACUCAGAAUAUUUUGUGAUUCUGUGAUUUUGCUUUUCUAGUACAAAACAAUUUUCCAUCUGAAAUUACUUUCAAAAUGUAUUUUAAAAUUAUUCAGAAACCUCAAAUGGAAAACAUCACUUCGUUUCAGAGCAAUCAAGACAAUUCUUUACCACAACUGACUCUUUUUCUUAAUUCUGUGAUUCUCUGUUUAAAUAUUCAUCGACUCAAAUCAAAAUUACUUCUUUCUUUUCCUAUGCCUGUCAGAAAACUAUGACACCAUUCUUCACAUUCAGCUGUGAUCCUUGACCCAAUUUAAAAGAAUAUUUAAACAUACUCUUAAUUCUGAGACUAAGUUAAAUACCUGUUCAGGUUCUCCAGUGAAUAACUACAAAUGCCAGGUAUGCUGAACUGCUAAACACCCCCAAACCUUUAUUUUCUUCGUCUUUUCUACAUAGGAUUUUUCUUUAUUGCUUAAUGGAAAAAAGAAUGACAAUGUGUUAGAAAUUGAGAAGAAGUUUUAUACAUUCAGAGAUGCUGUUGCUGAACUUUUGUUCAGCAGAGAGAGAAAAUAAUAAAGCAAUAUCUACCAAGCUUCAGUGUUUGGAAAUAACAUAAGUUCUCUUGGACACCUGAAAGGUUCUUCCUCUCCUGUCUUCCUAAGCAGGUAUUACUUUUUGAUCAAAAGACACAGAAACAAGGACUGAAUAAAAAACAAUAAAACAAACAUUAAUAAAAGGAAUAUCAUCCUUACCUGACCAAUUAAAUUAUCAUUAUUCCCCCUCCAGCCUUACUGUAUACAAAUAGAACAAGCAAUCAAAUUCACAUUGAAGUCCAGUUCUUCAUUUUUCUCUAGUUCAAACAUAUUUCAGAACAGACUAGGAUCCCUCUGUAUAUACAUAUAUUAAAAAAAGAACAGAUUCCAAUUAAAAAAAAACACAUUUCAAGCUGCUUAUAUUUCAUACAUACACAUGUAUACACGCGUCAGGGGAACAAGCACACAGAACCAACCACAAGCAGUUAAGUUAACUCCUAGCACCCUUCCUUUGUUCAGCUCCCACAAAUUUCUGCUGCUGGUGGGUGUAAGGCUUUUGAACUUCUUGAAAGCAACAAAGAGAAAACUGUAGAUCAAUGUGUUUAACCAUGUGCUUUCCUGGGCUGCCUGCAGAACAGCUCUUGACUCAAGAAGGGGCAACAUGCACAUAUGCUGAGCAGCUCACAGCAUUCCCUGGGGCUUCUUUGUUUAUUCUGUAUUUGUUUAUCAGUUUCAGCGGGACACAAUGGGAUCCAGAGUAACUGUGUGCCUCAGACAUCACUAAGCUGACUUUCCUCGGCAGAAGGAGGAAGAGAAGUACUUUGAGCUUUGCUCUCUGGAUUGAAAGUUGAAAUGAGUUGGCACGACCAGAAGGGUGCAGGAUAAUGCGCCCACCACUCUGCAUGAGGGGAAAUCCCCCUCUGUAGGAGGUGUCGCUUGUAUUCCUCAAACCUAUCCUAGCUUUUAAACACCAUUAAAUAUACCCUUCCAGUUAACUUGGAAGGGCAUACCUUCUACAGCUAGUGAAAAGCUGUUCUACUGCCUUGUAACAAUAUUGACAGAUGCAGUCAUAAUGAAAUAUUUCCAAGCUGUUGCAUGGCCAGAAAAAGAAACUACUGUUGGUGUGACCGCAGUAUAGAAGUUUUCAAAUAUGUUGGAUAGUUAGAAGGAAAAAAAAAAUAGUUUGGAGAACAAACUAAAUUUGAGGGAUGGAGUAGGAAAAGCUAAGCAGGCCACGGUCAAGAAUGUGCAAAUAGAAAAGGAUCUGUAGAAGAGAAGACAAUACAGAAACAGACAACUACCCAGCAAGGUGGAAAAGAGCUUUUACUCAUAUUUGCUACUGUUUGUAUACUCACUCCCAGUUGUAGCAAUAAAAUAAACACCUGCCUCAUUUAGUCAACUUCAUGAUGCACCCAGGAAAUUCUGCUCCCAGUUGGUCAGAAAAGAACACAUGAAAUCUCUGUCACACAUUUAUUUGCUUAACCAGGGAUCAAGCUGCUGAACUGAUGAGCAAACAGAAGCAGCAAAAUGUUCAGAAACCCUACCCACCCUGUUCCUGUAACAAACUAGCUAGGGACAAUUCACUCUGACCUGGUGCAGACCAUAGCCUCUUCUGGGAAAUCAUCACCUGGGCAGCAUCAUUUAGGCUGGGGUCACCCUGCUUCAUGGCAGGUGCGAGCCUCUGAAAGGUUAGGGAUUGCUGAGAGGUCAACUAAGGAAGAAAGAAAAAGCAAUGUGUGCAACAAGCAUUUGCCCAUUACAUCCCAAGGCUGCACUUUCGGUUUUCUCAAGUUGGAAAGAGAAGGGAGGUUUGGCCCUGCACUGCUCCCCAGGGAAAGGCUGCUCUGCCAGCCUACCUCUGACUCACUGUUUUGACAUCUGGUAUUAAAGCUUAGGUAGUUUGAAGAUCAGUAGAAUAGAGGCAUUUAAAAAAACCAUUCUUUCACCAGUACAUUUGAUUUUUAAAUAACUGUGUUAAUUCCAGAAGGUUCAACUUCAUUUACCUCAUCAGGCACCUGACUAUACCGAGUGUUAUUCGAAGUUAUUGUAACUCUCUUUUUUAAAGUGGAUUUAAGCCAUUAUGGUCUAUCACAUAAAUCCUUCUUAGUUUGUGGAUUAUUGACCUGAUAGGCCCAAACAGCUCCAUCUGUCCGUUUAAAUGGGCACCAAUGCUUUGAGUGUUUAUUGCUUUCAAUCCUAUUAUUUGUAAAGUGCUUUCUUCCUCUGUCUGUGCGUGUGUAUGUUUGGUAUUCAGGGACAAUUUAUUGCUGAAUUUUUGUCUAAACUCUUUCAAAUAUAAGGCUUUCCUGUGCUAACUGCCCACAUACAGUAGCACAAGGAAGUAUACUGCUUCUUGAUUUGGGAAAUGAAGCUGUUGACUUAGAGCCAGCCUUUAAGAGUGAUUUAAAAGUUGAUACACUGGAAGAACAUUUAAAAGAAAAAGGGACUCCCCUUUGAAAUGCUGAUGUGAAUCCAGCCUGAGGUAAUGAAGCUUUUAUAGUUAUAGAGAACAUUACUUUUGGGUAUCUACUCCAAGUACUUCUUUUAAAAGAGCUAAAAUGAUGCUCAAAGGGACAUUUGUUGAAGAGAAAACAGGAGUAAAAUAGUUUAUCACCUGUUGAUAUGUGUAAGAGGUCAGAGUAAAAGUAUACAGAGAAAACCAGACAUUUUUCAUUGAUUCAUGUUUGUGGGUCAAAUUAUUUACCAAGACCAAGUCAACUGUCUUGAUGUGUUGAGUCAAAUAAUUUGUGAUGGAAAUAUUAAAGUGCUAUGAAAAGGUUCCCUGUGCAAGGAAGCCUGUUCUUUCCUGCAUCACAGGUAUUCUACACACUAUUAAUUCUACUAAUACACACUAUUCUACACACAGGUAUUACUACACACUAGUAAUAACUAGAGUUAUUACUAUUAGACAAUGUACUGAAAAGUCAGGAAAUCAAACACAAAGACAAAAAUCUUCAAAAUGUGGCUGCCACCUCAGCCUGAUGGAUUUCAUUGCUUCACUUUUGUCUUCUUCCUAUGGGUAAGACACUCCACCUGGCACCGGCAGGCCGGACCACGCAGAACAUGUGAAUGUGUCUUCCCAGUAUGCAGAAUGCUUUGCCUCUGACAUGGCUGGCUUCUCUUUGCAACAAAAAUCAGUGGAAAAGAGACAUUUUAUCAAGUCAGUCCUGAAUAAUAUUUAGAAAUCUUAGAGAAACUAAAAAAAUACCUUGCAGGUGGUCUGUGAUAGCUUUUGUAUACAUAAAUAGAGAUGUCUUAGGUCUGACACUUGGAAGAGAGUGGUUUAUAUCGUGCUCAUACUCUUUUGUAACAUAUGUAUGCACUGGACACAUGGUUGUUUUUUCAGGGAUGGCAAAACUAAGGAAAGUGGGAAGAUAUUUUUGGCAAGCUAUGUUUUUGGAGAAGAAAUGCCUGGUUCCAAGACCUUUUCAAAUCCAGAGCUAAGGCUAAACUAUGCUGAGAUGAAAUGAUGCAGAGGACACAGAUUAUCUGAUAAAUAUCUACACUGAUCCCAAAUGGCCCCAGAGGACGAAGGUGUUCUAGCUCAUGAAGACUUUAUCAUGUUGCCUUCUUCUCCCUCAAGAGAUGUGUCUGCCUAGGAGCUCUGUGCAAACAAAAAACACUGUUUACUGAAAGGAUCAUUUUCCUUUUAGCUAUGCAGUAGCUGAAAAUGCCGAGAGCAAUUUUGUUCACCUCUUAGGCUCCAGAAAAACCUGUGUGGCAGAAUUGUCACAAAGACUAAUGUUCGUGUAGCACCUAUAGGAGAGCUUUUCAGAAGAGUCCUAUGUACAUUCCCUAAUAAAAAUAAGUGAAUAAUCAUUGGCAAUAUACAUGCAAAUUGGCUUCCCAAAGGAUGGAGCCACAAGACAGAGUAUAUCAGUCAAGGGCACCAAAGCAAUUGUGAGCAGUCACCAGAGAAUAAGUCCUUUCAGAAUGCAUGAAAUCAAUCUGGUGCCCUCUGAAAUAUACGGUCCAGUUGCUUAUGUCCAUACAAAUAUUCACCCUCUCAAUGUGGAGGCACUAAGGAAUGCAGAUUAAAAGGACUGUUUCAGGACUGAGACAAUCACUCCGCAGUGAGAAGCCAAGUAAUGAUUGAUCAUUAUUUUAUCUGUGCUGAACAACAUUGUAAGCAAAUUGCAUAUAAUUAUGACAAAAUACCAUCAACAACAUGACAGUCUCCUGUCGUGUGCUGGGGCAUUUGGCACACAGCGCUGCCGAGUCAAAUGUUUGUUGCCUUUCUGAUGCUUGGUGUUUGUGUUUUGCCUGUUGCUUUGACUCACACUCUUGCUUCAAUAAAGACUUAUUAUACUGUCA
Pseudopipra pipra is the source of this 5104-nucleotide long non-coding RNA. RefSeq lists it as uncharacterized. The transcript has 2 exons. The record is from RefSeq and is a predicted model, not a curated record. NCBI's taxonomy places the organism in Eukaryota, Metazoa, Chordata, Aves, Passeriformes, Pipridae.